AACAUCUUUAUGCACAUCCCAGAGGAGGUCACAGUCCCCAAGGAUCGAGUAUUUCAUUCUGCGGCUUUCUGUGUCACUAAUACACAGAAAAAUAGGAAGGUCGAGUCUCCUCAAACAAAAUAUUGGAGAUCAUCUGACAUCUACAUUCUGAAGGAUGUGAGUUCUCAGCUGCUGCUCCACCACCUUGCUGGUCUUCCUGUUGCUGCAUGCCCCACCACGAUGAUCAUGGGCUCACCCUCUGAACUGUAAGCUCCAAACAAACCCUUUCUUCUAUACAUUCCUUAGGUCAUGGUGUCUUAACACAGCAAUGGAAGAGUAACUAAGACACUAAGGGAAAGAAACAGAUUUUGAACUUUAAAAUCCCUCUUUUAAAGUGAUAGAAAUGUUUGUGUGUUUGUCUCAAUUGUUAACAAUCUCCCAAUAAAAUCCAGUAUUUUGAAAUGUGAGAAUGAAGAGUUCUGUCUUAUCUGGGGUAUACCCUUAAUAUUUUCAGUUUGGAACUUGAAUUGGCAUGCUUAUACUAAGAUUCUGCAAUAUUAUUUUUGUCAUUGGCUAAGUAAUAUUGCUUUCAGCUAGUAUAAUUUUAUUCAGCUUGUGAAAGACUUCAUGCAUGUUGACUCUAGUGAUCUCUUCUUCCAUGUCUUUGCCACAAUAAAAAAAAAAAAAAAAAA
This is a long non-coding RNA of Peromyscus leucopus (white-footed mouse), 671 nucleotides long. RefSeq lists it as uncharacterized. The record is from RefSeq and is a predicted model, not a curated record. NCBI's taxonomy places the organism in Eukaryota, Metazoa, Chordata, Mammalia, Rodentia, Cricetidae. The transcript is spliced from 2 exons.